ACUCAAAUGAAUUGACGGGGGCCCGCACAAGCGGUGGAGCAUGUGGUUUAAUUCGAUGCAACCCGAAAAACCUUACCUACCCUUGACAUCCUUAGAAUCUGGCUGAGAGGCUGGAGUGCCGAAAGGAGCUAAGUGACAGGUGCUGCAUGGCUGUCGUCAGCUCGUGUCGUGAGAUGUUGGGUUAAGUCCCGUAACGAGCGCAACCCUUUUCCUUUGUUGCUAACAGGUUAAGCUGAGUACUUGAAGGAGACUGCCAGUGAUAAGCUGGAGGAAGGGGAGGAUGACGUCAAGUCCUCAUGGCCUUUAUGGGUAGGGCAACACACGUGCUACAAUGGGAUAUACAACAAGUUGCCAACCCGCGAGGGGGAGCUAAUCUCUUAAAAUAUCUCGUAGUCCGGAUUGGAGUCUGCAACUCGACUCCAUGAAGCUGGAAUCGCUAGUAAUCGCAAAUCAGCAUGUUGCGGUGAAUACGUUCUCGGGCCUUGUACACACCGCCCGU
This 499-nucleotide ribosomal RNA is filed under the name uncultured bacterium. RNAcentral describes it as "partial 16S ribosomal RNA". It matches the Rfam family "Bacterial small subunit ribosomal RNA", at positions 899 to 1397 of the family's 1533-position model. The record is from RNAcentral.